ACGGUCCUAAGGUAGCGAAAUUCCUUGUCGGGUAAGUUCCGACCCGCACGAAAGGCGUAAUGAUUUGAGCACUGUCUCGACAAUGCAUCCGGUGAAAUUGAAGUACCAGUGAAGAUGCUGGUUACCCGCGCCAGGACGGAAAGACCCCAUGGAGCUUUACUCCAGUUUGAUACUGGGAUUCGGUACUGCAUGUACAGGAUAGGUGGGAGACGAAGAAGGAUGGACGCCAGUCUGUCCGGAGUCGCUGUUGGGAUACCACCCCUGUAGUACUGGGUUUCUAACCAGUCACCGUGAACCGGUGAUGGGACAAUGUCAGGCGGGGAGUUUGACUGGGGCGGUCGCCUCCGAAAGGGUAUCGGAGGCGCUCAAAGGUUCCCUCAGAAUGGUUGGAAACCAUUUGAAGAGUGCAAAGGCAGAAGGGAGCUUGACUGCGACACCGACGGGUGGAGCAGGUACGAAAGUAGGACUUAGUGAUCCGGUGGUAUAAAGUGGGAUUGCCAUCGCUCAACGGAUAAAAGCUACCCUGGGGAUAACAGGCUUAUCACUCCCAAGAGUUCACAUCGACGGAGUGGUUUGGCACCUCGAUGUCGGCUCAUCGCAUCCUGGGGCUGUAGCAGGUCCCAAGGGUUGGGCUGUUCGCCCAUUAAAGCGGUACGCGAGCUGGGUUCAGAACGUCGUGAGACAGUUCGGUCCCUAUCCGGCGUGGGCGUAGGAUAUUUGAGAGGAGCUGUCCUUAGUACGAGAGGACCGGGAUGGACGGACCGCUGGUGUAUCUGUUGUUGUACCAACAGCAUGGCAGAGUAGCCAAGUCCGGCAGGGAUAAACGCUGAAGGCAUCUAAGCGUGAAGCCCCCCUCAAGAUAAGAUAUCCCAUCAUAAGAGUAAGACCCCUUGAAGACUACAAGGUUGAUAGGCUUGGAGUGUAAUCGUGGCAACACGUUCAGCUGACAAGUACUAAUAGGUCGAGGGCUUAUCCUU
This 977-nucleotide ribosomal RNA is filed under the name human gut metagenome. RNAcentral's name for it is "bacterial LSU rRNA". It matches the Rfam family "Bacterial large subunit ribosomal RNA", at positions 1945 to 2925 of the family's 2925-position model. The record is from RNAcentral.